Molecule: ribosomal RNA, 447 nt
Filed under: uncultured bacterium
Lineage: Bacteria
Description: bacterial SSU rRNA
Rfam family: Bacterial small subunit ribosomal RNA
Source: RNAcentral
UGGGGAAUCUUGGACAAUGGGCGCAAGCCUGAUCCAGCCAUGCCGCGUGAGUGAAGAAGGCCUUCGGGUUGUAAAGCUCUUUUACCAGGGACGAUAAUGACGGUACCUGGAGAAUAAGCUCCGGCUAACUCCGUGCCAGCAGCCGCGGUAAUACGGAGGGAGCUAGCGUUGUUCGGAAUUACUGGGCGUAAAGCGUACGUAGGCGGUGACUUAAGUCAGGGGUGAAAGCCCGAGGCUCAACCUCGGAAUUGCCUCUGAUACUGGCUGUCUAGAGUUCGAGAGAGGUGAGUGGAAUUCCUAGUGUAGAGGUGAAAUUCGUAGAUAUUAGGAAGAACACCGGUGGCGAAGGCGGCUCACUGGCUCGAUACUGACACUGAGGUGCGAAAGCGUGGGGAGCAAACAGGAUUAGAUACCCCGGUAGUCCCUGAGCGGGCUGGCAAGGCGCAU